GGGCCCGUGGCCUAGCUGGAUGAAGGCGCCGGCCUUCGGAGCCGGAGAUCGUGGGUUCAAAUCCCACCGGGCCCG
Molecule: transfer RNA, 75 nt
Filed under: Hadesarchaea archaeon
Lineage: Archaea; Methanobacteriati; Hadarchaeota (SeqCode); Hadarchaeia (SeqCode)
Description: tRNA-Arg
Rfam family: tRNA
About the family: Transfer RNA (tRNA) molecules are approximately 80 nucleotides in length.
Source: RNAcentral